GGGCACAGGCAAGGGUGAAAGGGUGCGGUAAGAGCGCACCGGGCCGCUGGCAACAGGGGUCGCACGGCAAACCCCACCCGGAGCAAGGCCAAAUAGGGGACGAGGGGCCGCCUGUCCCACCCGAGUCCCGGGUAGGCCGCUCGAGGUUCGGAGCGAUCCGGACCCCAGAUAAAUGAUCCCGGUCCGCCCCGGGGGCGCGACAACAGAACUCGGCUUACGACGCCCGUCCUCCU
RNAcentral lists this RNase P RNA (233 nucleotides) under Gemmatimonadota bacterium. RNAcentral describes it as "Gemmatimonadetes bacterium partial RNase P RNA component class A". It matches the Rfam family "Bacterial RNase P class A", at positions 140 to 367 of the family's 367-position model. From Rfam's summary of the family: Ribonuclease P (RNase P) is a ubiquitous endoribonuclease, found in archaea, bacteria and eukarya as well as chloroplasts and mitochondria. Its best characterised activity is the generation of mature 5'-ends of tRNAs by cleaving the 5'-leader elements of precursor-tRNAs. Lineage: Bacteria; Pseudomonadati; Gemmatimonadota. The record is from RNAcentral.